This 1345-nucleotide ribosomal RNA is filed under the name uncultured bacterium. RNAcentral describes it as "bacterial SSU rRNA". It matches the Rfam family "Bacterial small subunit ribosomal RNA", at positions 77 to 1417 of the family's 1533-position model. The record is from RNAcentral.
CCUUCGGGAUGAGUAAAGUGGCGAACGGGUGCAUAACACGUAGGAAUCUACCUUUUAGUGGGGGAUACCUUCGAGAAAUCGAAGUUAAUACCGCAUGUUCCCUUCGGGGAAAAGAUGGCCUCUUUGCUAUCGCUAAAAGAUGAGCCUGCGGACUAUUAGCUAGUUGGUGGGGUAAAAGCCUACCAAGGCGAAGAUGGUUAGCCGGCCUGAGAGGGUGUACGGCCACACUGGGACUGAGAUACGGCCCAGACUCCUACGGGAGGCAGCAGUGGGGAAUAUUGCACAAUGGGCGAAAGCCUGAUGCAGCGACGCCGCGUGAAGGAUGAAGGUCUUCGGAUUGUAAACUUCUGUUAAACGGGAAGAAAUCUUCGUAAAUAAUACGUGCGAAGGAUGACGGUACCGUUAGAGAAAGCCCCGGCUAACUUCGUGCCAGCAGCCGCGGUAAGACGAAGGGGGCGAGCGUUAUUCGGAAUUACUGGGCGUAAAGAGCGUGUAGGCGGCUAAUUAAGUUAGUUGUUAAAUUUCCUAGCCUAACUGGGAAUCAGCAAUUAAUACUGAUUAGCUAGAGGACAAGAGAGAGAAGUGGAAUUCUCGGAGUAGCGGUAAAAUGCGUAGAUCUCGAGAGGAACACCGGUUGCGAAGGCGGCUUCUUGGCUUGUAUCUGACGCUAAAGCGCGAAAGCGUGGGGAGCAAACAGGAUUAGAUACCCUGGUAGUCCACGCCGUAAACGAUGAUCACUAGAUGUGGGUUUUGCUUGUCAGAAUCCGUGUCGAAGCUAACGCGUUAAGUGAUCCGCCUGGGGAGUACGGUCGCAAGAUUAAAACUUAAAGAAAUUGACGGGGGUCCGCACAAGCGGUGGAACAUGUGGUUUAAUUCGACACUACGCGAGGAACCUUACCUGGGCUUGACAUGUAUCUGACUGUCAUAGAAAUAUGAUUUUCCAAGUUUACUUGGACAGAUACACAGGUGCUGCAUGGCUGUCGUCAGCUCGUGUCGUGAGAUGUUGGGUUAAGUCCUUUAACGAGCGCAACCCUUGCCGUCAGUUGCUACUCUCGAAAGAGAGGCACUCUGAUGGGACUGCCUAGGAAACUAGGAGGAAGGUGGGGAUGACGUCAAGUCCUCAUGGCCUUUAUGUCCAGGGCUACACACGUGUUACAAUGGCUAGUACAAAGGGAAGCAAACCCGUGAGGGGGAGCAAAUCUCAAAAAACUAGUCUAAGUUCAGAUUGGAGUCUGCAACUCGACUCCAUGAAGUUGAAAUCGCUAGUAAUCGCGUAUCAGAACGACGCGGUGAAUACGUUCUCGGACCUUGUACACACCGCCCGUCACACCACGAAAAUCGUCUA